RNAcentral lists this ribosomal RNA (499 nucleotides) under uncultured Glomeromycotina. RNAcentral's name for it is "partial small subunit ribosomal RNA". It matches the Rfam family "Eukaryotic small subunit ribosomal RNA", at positions 591 to 1092 of the family's 1831-position model. The record is from RNAcentral. Lineage: Eukaryota; Fungi; Glomeromycota.
CCAAUAGCGUAUAUUAAAGUUGUUGCAGUUAAAAAGCUCGUAGUUGAAUUUCGAGAUCAAAUUGUUGGUCGUGCCUUGGUACGUACUGACAUUAUUGGUUUCUCCCUUCUGAAGAACCAUGAUGUCAUUAAUUUGGUGUCAUGGGGAAUCAGGACUGUUACUUUGAAAAAAUUAGAGUGUUUAAAGCAGGCUCGCGCUUGAAUACAUUAGCAUGGAAUAAUGAAAUAGGACGUUUAAUUCUAUUUUGUUGGUUUCUAGGAUUGACGUAAUGAUUAAUAGGGAUAGUUGGGGGCAUUAGUAUUCAAUUGUCAGAGGUGAAAUUCUUGGAUUUAUUGAAGACUAACUACUGCGAAAGCAUUUGCCAAGGAUGUUUUCAUUAAUCAAGAACGAAAGUUAGGGGAUCGAAGACGAUCAGAUACCGUCGUAGUCUUAACCAUAAACUAUGCCGACUAGGGAUCGGAUGAUGUUAAUUUUUUAAUGACUCAUUCGGCGCCUUACG